UUUCUGUAAAACUGUAAAAUGUGGAUCAAAACAGAGACCAACUGGAAAAUCUGGAAAGAAAGGGAGUGACGAAUAAUCUUCACCGGAAAAACGCAGGCAACUUUCAGACUCCUCAUCAGCGCUUAUCGGCCACCGCACUUGGGCGGCACGUGAACUGGUUUUAGGUGUAACAAGAAGGCAGGUUUCUAUUGGAUGUGGCUCUAAAUCAAGAGACAAGGUUGUUAUUGUAGAGGAGAUGACUCUACAAAGUGUUUUUGACAUUCCGGAUAGAGCUUCGAAGUGCAGCGCAUAGGGUGAGAGAUGUAAAUAUGAUAUUUGAAUUGGGUUUGAGCUUGUGAAGCUUGAUAUUAGGACCUAACCAAGUCAUACUUGAUUUGUCCGGUUCUAUCUGUAUUUAUAGAAAAGUUUCCCUCCUUAUGGUUUAGAUGCUUCAAAAUUUGUAUUCUGUUCCCCAUUUACUACAAAUAGUUACUUCUUUAUAAAAGAAAAUUAUGCCUAAACUUAAUCGGUCAA
Long non-coding RNA from Rosa chinensis, 513 nucleotides. RefSeq lists it as uncharacterized. The record is from RefSeq and is a predicted model, not a curated record. The transcript is spliced from 2 exons. NCBI's taxonomy places the organism in Eukaryota, Viridiplantae, Streptophyta, Magnoliopsida, Rosales, Rosaceae.